Molecule: ribosomal RNA, 215 nt
Filed under: Enterobacter asburiae
Lineage: Bacteria; Pseudomonadati; Pseudomonadota; Gammaproteobacteria; Enterobacterales; Enterobacteriaceae
Also listed under: 1 other name
Description: partial 16S ribosomal RNA
Rfam family: Bacterial small subunit ribosomal RNA
Source: RNAcentral
AAAUUGAAGAGUUUGAUCAUGGCUCAGAUUGAACGCUGGCGGCAGGCCUAACACAUGCAAGUCGAGCGGUAACACAGGGAGCUUGCUCCUGGGUGACGAGCGGCGGACGGGUGAGUAAUGUCUGGGAAACUGCCUGAUGGAGGGGGAUAACUACUGGAAACGGUAGCUAAUACCGCAUAACGUCGCAAGACCAAAGAGGGGGACCUUCGGGCCUC